AUGGACGAGCUUAGUCCUAUGGCAGCUGUCUGUAACGGAAUGGGUCUGAAAGACAAGACUAGAGACAACAAACUAAACCGAAAGGAAACACGUAUUGGGGAUGGCGGACUGUGGGUUGAUAUGAGCGAUGGCGCGGGUAGUGGGGUGGGCAAUCUGGUAGGGCUUGUGGCCCCGGAGCGUGAGCGGAAACUAAAACUGGAGGUCCAACGAGCAGCAGGGAUAAGCCCCCAUAUGAUUAUUGUGGCGUGCGAAGUAAGAAAGCCAAAGGCACUGCAAAAUAUUUUUUGUCAACCGGCGCACAAAAGUACAACAUGUCCUGACCGAGGUGAUCUGCCUCUGAAACCAAGGAAGGAGGCAAAGUGCACAAACUGCAGAGUGGGCGGCGAUCGAAAAAACUCCUACAACAAGCCCAAGGUGAUCCUGCAUACUGUUCAAACGGUAACCUUGAUGGUAUCUGCCCGGGUAGUUAAGCAUCUGCAUCAGCAUGAUGGCCACGCAUGUAAGAGCCUGCAUGGUUUUACCGGGAAAAACUCUCCAACUACACUUGUUGUAUGGCUGGCUAUAUGGCACGAACGUGAUCGGUUUCCCAUGCAGUUUUGGCUGUUGUAUCAUAGAUGUGAGAUGCACCAGCCUGAGCUGUGCUGCAACGAUGUAAAUGAGCUUUCAAAUACUAGUGCACGCGUGUCAUGCAGGCUCGGUCCAGGACGUCCUCGGCCUACACACCGCAACGUCUGUCAAACUGAAGAUGAGGGCCCAGCCAUAUCUAUUCAGCCCAAGCCCCAGAGGAGCGCUAAGCAGAGCGGGGGUCUCGCGCGCGGCCGCGGCCUCCUCGCCGCUCGAUGCUUGUUGCUCAUCUACGGCCUAACUGCUAAUUCGUCCAUCCAGAUCUCAUCUGUCUCCUCCCCUCCCCUCCGCCGCCUCCACGCGGGCGACCGAGGGGCUCCAACCCUAGCCGCCGGGUCACUCCUCCUCUUCUUCCUCUCCGCCGCUGCCGGUGAGAUCUGGACCGAUCAGAGAUCUGGACUGCGCGGUGCCGAUCUGGUUCAUGACGGCCCAGAUUUGGACUACGGCGGUGUGGUGGCCGGUCGGCGUCCUAAUGGCGGCUGUGGUGGCAGUGUUGGCGACAGCGAUGGCUCUGGCGCCGCAGCGUCGGAGGCAGCGGCGGCGCGCCAUAUGCCUUUGGAUCGGCGGUGGUGGCAUGGAGGGCCUGGUGCCGCUCCUCCUCCCAACCCUAGCCGCCCCUCCCCCCCUUCCCUUCCUCGCCGCCGCCUGAGGCAGCCGCCGGACAAGCCUGGGGCGCAAAGGAUGGUGGCGGUGGGGCCUCUGUUGCCCUGCAUCUGCGUGGGGAACUCCGGAUCUAGAGCGGCGGCUCCAUUGUCAAGGCACGGACGGCUAGCAGCCAUGCGGGCGGUGGAUCUGGUGUCCCGCCCGCGCGGGCGGCGGGAUCUGGUGGUCGUUGGCGGCCGGCGGCGGCUUCUGCGGCGGUCGGUGCGCGCGAUCUGGCACCUCCCCUCCUCCCCUGUUCAUCGUGCGGGCCAGCCUGGUCGGGCCGCUCUUCCUCUUGGUCACCGGUUCUAUACAGGAGGCGCUGCUGGUGGCGGGGAUCUACUUGCCAUUUCUCACGCAUGCCCUUCACUGCAGCAUGGUAUGAAGAACAUGGGGACGGGGAGCCUCUCCAACUGGUGGUUGAGCACGGCGGAGCGCCUCAAGGCUGAAGCAUUGGAACACGUUUACCACCCUGGUCUGCUGGACGCUACGCUGCGGAAAGAGCACAACGCCCGAAUAUUCAAUCAUGAAUGA
This 1800-nucleotide ribosomal RNA is filed under the name Triticum aestivum (bread wheat). RNAcentral describes it as "partial small subunit ribosomal RNA". The record is from RNAcentral. Lineage: Eukaryota; Viridiplantae; Streptophyta; Magnoliopsida; Poales; Poaceae.